This 632-nucleotide ribosomal RNA is filed under the name uncultured eukaryote. Its description in RNAcentral is "SSU rRNA". It matches the Rfam family "Eukaryotic small subunit ribosomal RNA", at positions 341 to 999 of the family's 1831-position model. The record is from RNAcentral.
CUACCAUGGCAGUCACGGGUAACGGAGAAUUAGGGUUCGAUUCCGGAGAGGGAGCCUGAGAAACGGCUACCACAUCUACGGAAGGCAGCAGGCGCGCAAAUUGCCCAAUCCCGACACGGGGAGGCAGUGACAAGAAAUAACAACUCUAGGUUUUCUUAGAAGUGUAAUGAGGAUAAUUUACAAACCUUACCAAAUGCAAUUGGAGGGCAAGUCUGGUGCCAGCAGCCGCGGUAAUUCCAGCUCCAAUAGCGUAUAUUAAAGUUGUUGCAGUUAAAAAGCUCGUAGUUGAAAAUCUGAUUGCUCAGGUCUCCAGCCUUUAGGCGGGGAUUCUGACAGUCAUCCGCUUGCAAACAUAUGUUCGAUCUUCACCGGUUGGCUAUGUGAGUAAGCACUUUACCUUGAGAAAAACAGAGUGUUCCAGGCAGGUUUGUCCGGAAUGCAUUAGCAUGGAAUAAUAGAACAUGACUGAAGUCUAUUUAUUGGUUAAAGGCUUUAGUAAUGAUUAAUAGGAACAGUCGGGGCAUUCGUACUCAGCAGUCAGAGGUGAAAUUCUAAGAUUUGCUGAAGACGAACUAAUGCGAAAGCAUUUGCCAAGGAUGUUUUCAUUAAUCAAGAACGAAAGUUAGGGGAUC